AUGCGCGUCCCGUCCUCUCUGCUUAACGACUACGGGGAACUCGGAGCGUUCCGGCGGCUGCUGCUUCUGGCUUUAUUGGCGCAUUUGAGAAACAGAGAGAGGACAGUGGUCAUCAGAGUCCCCGCAGACUUCCUACACUCCCUCAUAAGGUGCCCGCAACUUACUGGACCUGUUCAACAAGGCGGCUGGGCUGACGCAGAGAGGCAGAUCUUCGUGAAGACCCUCACAGGCAAGACAAUCACCCUUGAAGUUGAGCCCAGUGACACCAUCGAGAAUGUCAAAGCUAAAAUCCAAGACAAGGAGGGCAUCCCACCUGACCAGCAGCGUCUGAUAUUUGCAGGCAAACAGCUGGAGGAUGGUCGCACUCUUUCAGAAUACAACAUCCACAAAGAGUCCACCCUGCACCUGGUGCUGUGCCUGAGAGGUGGCAUCAUUGAACCUUCCCUCCGCCAGUUCGCCCAGAAGUACAAGUGUGAUAAGAUGAUCUGCCACAAGUGCUACACACGCCUGCACCCCCAUUAAGUCAACUGCCACAAGAAGAAGUAUGGGCACACCAACAACCUGUGCCCCAAGAAGAAAGUCAAAUAAGGCCCUCGCCAGCUCCUCCUGCAAGGCAGCCUCCUGCCCUGGCCCGUGGCUCUGGGGCCUCAAUAAAGUUUCCCUUUCGUUGAAAAAAAAAAAAA
Molecule: RNA transcript, 683 nt
Organism: Carlito syrichta (Philippine tarsier)
Lineage: Eukaryota; Metazoa; Chordata; Mammalia; Primates; Tarsiidae
Gene name: ubiquitin-60S ribosomal protein L40 pseudogene
Exons: 3
Source: RefSeq, a predicted model, not a curated record